GCAUUAAUAGCUUAACGCCAAAGCAUCGGUCUUGUAAUCCGAAGAUUGAAGAUUAAACUCCUUCUUAAUGCC
RNAcentral lists this transfer RNA (72 nucleotides) under Phenacogrammus interruptus (Congo tetra). RNAcentral's name for it is "tRNA-Thr". It matches the Rfam family "tRNA". Rfam says of the family: Transfer RNA (tRNA) molecules are approximately 80 nucleotides in length. Their secondary structure includes four short double-helical elements and three loops (D, anti-codon, and T loops). Further hydrogen bonds mediate the characteristic L-shaped molecular structure. tRNAs have two regions of fundamental functional importance: the anti-codon, which is responsible for specific mRNA codon recognition, and the 3' end, to which the tRNAs corresponding amino acid is attached (by aminoacyl-tRNA synthetases). tRNAs cope with the degeneracy of the genetic code in two manners: having more than one tRNA (with a specific anti-codon) for a particular amino acid; and 'wobble' base-pairing, i.e. permitting non-standard base-pairing at the 3rd anti-codon position. The record is from RNAcentral. Lineage: Eukaryota; Metazoa; Chordata; Actinopteri; Characiformes; Alestidae.